GACGAACGCUGGCGGCGUGCCUAAUACAUGCAAGUCGAACGCAUUUUCUUUCACCGUAGCUUGCUACACCGAAAGAAAAUGAGUGGCGAACGGGUGAGUAACACGUGGGUAACCUGCCCAUCAGCGGGGGAUAACACUUGGAAACAGGUGCUAAUACCGCAUAAUUCCAUUUACCGCAUGGUAGAUGGAUGAAAGGCGCUUUUGCGUCACUGAUGGAUGGACUCGCGGUGCAUUAGCUAGUUGGUGGGGUAACGGCCUACCAAGGCUGCGAUGCAUAGCCGACCGGAGAGGGUGAGCGGCCACACUGGGACUGAGACACGGCCCAGUCUCCUACGGGAGGCAGCAGUAGGGAAUCUUCGGCAAUGGACACAAGUCUGACCGAGCAACGCUGCGUGAGUGAAGAAGGUUGUCGGAUCGUAAAACUCUGUUGUUAGAGAAGAACAAGGAUGAGAGUGGAAAGUUCAUCCCUUGACGGUAUCUAACCAGAAAGCCACGGCUAACUACGUG
Molecule: ribosomal RNA, 507 nt
Filed under: uncultured bacterium
Lineage: Bacteria
Description: partial 16S ribosomal RNA
Rfam family: Bacterial small subunit ribosomal RNA
Source: RNAcentral